AGCAGCCGCGGUAAUUCCAGCUCCAAUAGCGUAUAUUAAAGUUGUUGCAGUUAAAAAGCUCGUAGUUGAAUUUCGGGACCAAUCUGCCGGUCGUGCCUCUGGUACGCACUGGUUUUAUUGGUUUCUCCCUUCUGACGAACCAUGAUGUCAUUAAUUUGGUGUCAUGGGGAAUCAGGACUGUUACUUUGAAAAAAUUAGAGUGUUUAAAGCAGGCUCACGCUUGAAUACAUUAGCAUGGAAUAAUGAAAUAGGACGUUUGACCCUAUUUUGUUGGUUUCUAGGAUCGACGUAAUGAUUAAUAGGGAUAGUUGGGGGCAUUAGUAUUCAAUUGUCAGAGGUGAAAUUCUUGGAUUUAUUGAAGACUAACUACUGCGAAAGCAUUUGCCAAGGAUGUUUUCAUUAAUCAAGAACGAAAGUUAGGGGAUCGAAGACGAUCAGAUACCGUCGUAGUCUUAACCAUAAACUAUGCCGACUAGGGAUCGGAUGAUGUUAAUUUUUUAAUGACUCAUUCGGCGCCUUA
RNAcentral lists this ribosomal RNA (520 nucleotides) under uncultured Glomus. RNAcentral describes it as "SSU rRNA". It matches the Rfam family "Eukaryotic small subunit ribosomal RNA", at positions 569 to 1090 of the family's 1831-position model. The record is from RNAcentral. Lineage: Eukaryota; Fungi; Glomeromycota; Glomeromycetes; Glomerales; Glomeraceae.